GACGAACGCUGGCGGCGUGCUUAACACAUGCAAGUCGAACGGAAAGGCCCUGCUUUUGUGGGGUGCUCGAGUGGCGCACGGGUGAGUAACACGUGAGUAACCUGCCCUUGACUUUGGGAUAACUCCAGGAAACUGGGGCUAAUACCGGAUAGGAGCUCCUGCUGCAUGGUGGGGGUUGGAAAGUUUCGGCGGUUGGGGAUGGACUCGCGGCUUAUCAGCUUGUUGGUGGGGUAGUGGCUUACCAAGGCUUUGACGGGUAGCCGGCCUGAGAGGGUGAACGGCCACAAGGGGACUGAGAUACGGCCCAGACGCCUACGGGAGGCAGCAGGGGGGAGUAUGGCACAAUGGGCGGAAGCCUGAGGCAGCAACGCCGCGUGCGGGAUGACGGCCUUCGGGUUGUAAACCGCUGUCGCCUGUGACGAAGCGUGAGUGACGGUAAUGGGUAAAGAAGCACCGGCUAACUACGUG
RNAcentral lists this ribosomal RNA (468 nucleotides) under uncultured bacterium. RNAcentral describes it as "partial 16S ribosomal RNA". It matches the Rfam family "Bacterial small subunit ribosomal RNA", at positions 28 to 507 of the family's 1533-position model. The record is from RNAcentral.